GGGGUGUCGGUCUAGCGGUUUGGACGCCGCUCUUUCACAGCGGAGGUCACGGGUUCGAAUCCCGUACGCCCUG
Molecule: transfer RNA, 73 nt
Filed under: Candidatus Rhodobacter oscarellae
Lineage: Bacteria; Pseudomonadati; Pseudomonadota; Alphaproteobacteria; Rhodobacterales
Description: Candidatus Rhodobacter lobularis tRNA
Rfam family: tRNA
About the family: Transfer RNA (tRNA) molecules are approximately 80 nucleotides in length.
Source: Rfam by way of RNAcentral